Molecule: non-coding RNA, 24 nt
Filed under: Arabidopsis thaliana (thale cress)
Lineage: Eukaryota; Viridiplantae; Streptophyta; Magnoliopsida; Brassicales; Brassicaceae
Source: RNAcentral
UGAAUGUGAUAUAGCCAACUCCCU